Molecule: ribosomal RNA, 295 nt
Filed under: uncultured bacterium
Lineage: Bacteria
Description: partial 16S ribosomal RNA
Rfam family: Bacterial small subunit ribosomal RNA
Source: RNAcentral
GGAUUAGAUACCCUGGUAGUCCACGCUGUAAACGAUGAAUACUAGGUGUGGGAGGACUGACCCCUUCCGUGCCGCAGUUAACACAAUAAGUAUUCCACCUGGGGAGUACGACCGCAAGGUUGAAACUCAAAGGAAUUGACGGGGGCCCGCACAAGCAGUGGAUUAUGUGGUUUAAUUCGACGCAACGCGAAGAACCUUACCAGGACUUGACAUCCAACUAACGAAGUAGAGAUACAUUAGGUGCCCUUCGGGGAAAGUUGAGACAGGUGGUGCAUGGUUGUCGUCAGCUCGUGCC